CCCGCCCGAGGGGGCCCCAGGCCCCGAUCCUGCGCAUGCGGCUGCUGAACACGUUGACAGGGCAGGGGGCGAUAGUGAAGUCGGACCGUACCCGAGGGCCCCUGCAGGGGGCGCUGCUGUGGAACGCGCAUGCGCGGGGGUACGCGUGGCUGAGCGGGGGGGCCCCCCUGCGGCCGGAGGACCCGCAGCCCCCCCCCGAGCCUGGCUGCCCCCCCCCCACAGCACUGCUGUACUAUGGGGAUGACUUCGGGGAGGACUGAGCCCCAUAGUACCCUCAGGACCGGCUCUGGGUGACACCGGGGGGGGGGGGUCCCUUAUUGGGGUCCCCCCCCCAAGUCUGGGGGUGAAACCGUGAGUGUGUGAGCAGAAAUAAAACCCUU
Melopsittacus undulatus (budgerigar) is the source of this 380-nucleotide long non-coding RNA. RefSeq lists it as uncharacterized. The transcript has 3 exons. NCBI's taxonomy places the organism in Eukaryota, Metazoa, Chordata, Aves, Psittaciformes, Psittaculidae. The record is from RefSeq and is a predicted model, not a curated record.